AGUCUCCUCCCUCAGAAAGCAGGAGGGGCGGAACACGCAGGGACGGCUUCUCCCUCGCAGGCAGGCUUCUCAAGGCUACCUGGAAAGGAGUUGACCAGCAGCAAGAGAGCUGGUUUUGAGCCACGAUUUGCCACCAGACAGCAGAGCCAGACAGCAGAGCAGCAAGAAGACAUUGGGCGGGGGCUGAGGAUUAGCCCAAACAAAACACCAAAGAACGCAAAUCUGAGGUUCAGCACGAGGAGGGAGAAUACAGCUCGGCCCCUGGGUGUGGGCUUUCUCUUUCGCGUGUGUUCAUUCGUUGCACUUACUAACCUCGAGCAAGCGCUGGGCGCGGAGGGUCCAGGCGAAAUCGAGGACCCCCGUGGUGCUCAGUUUUGGGGGGCGGGGGCUGGUGGUCCCAGCUGCUGACACCAAGACAGUGGAAGCUCAGGUUACACCAAGCCAGGUCUCAUGCUUAUUCCAUUUUAAUGGAAACUGAGACCAAGGGCAAGGCUGGGAUUAGCCCGGCGUUGCAGGGGGGCGAAGGGCCGAGCCCGAUCUUGAACGGAUGGCACGCCCGGAAUCGGGAGAGGCCUCCUCCCGCGUGAUCAUGCACCUGGGCUGGGCGAGGAAAUCAGGGCCUGGAGGAGAAGCAUUCCGGCCGCCAUCCCGCUGCCCGGGGCCGCGGGGGGCCUGGCCAAGGUGACCCUGCGGGAGGAGGAGAGGGUCCCCGCCCUCUCGGCCGAGGCAACCUCCUCCAUCUUCCCCGUCGGCUGGGCUUCUCCUCAGGCCCCGAGCGCCUCCCCCCCACCCCGGGCUACCCCGAGAGCGGGACAUUUCGGGCUCUUGUCCGCCCCCCCAGGCCACCUCGGGCCAUGUCCUAGCUCUGCCCUCCGGCCCGGGGAAGAGUCGAGGGGGGGCCGAGGAGGAGGCGCUCGUCCCGGUCCGGGCUCCUUCCCCCCCCCCGCCCCGCCCUGCCUCCCGGUGCCCGCUCCCGCGGCCGUCCUCCCUUCCUCCUCG
Molecule: long non-coding RNA, 999 nt
Filed under: Heterocephalus glaber (naked mole-rat)
Lineage: Eukaryota; Metazoa; Chordata; Mammalia; Rodentia; Bathyergidae
Description: lncRNA (ENSHGLG00000040281.1)
Source: RNAcentral